RNAcentral lists this long non-coding RNA (2676 nucleotides) under Homo sapiens (human). RNAcentral's name for it is "HSALNT0121925". The record is from RNAcentral. Lineage: Eukaryota; Metazoa; Chordata; Mammalia; Primates; Hominidae.
UGGGACCACAGAUGCACACUACCAUGCCCAGCUAAUUUUUAAAACUUUUUAAGAGAUGGGGGUCUCCGUAUGUUGCCCAGGCUGGUCUUGAACUUCUGGGCUCAAGCGAUCCUCCCACCUAGGCCUCCCAAAGCGCUGGGAUUACAGAUGGGACCCAUCGCACCCAGCCCGUUCUUUCCCUGCUCUUAUUUCUGCUGCUUUUUGCCCUUUUCCCCACUGAGUCCAGCCGUGGAACUGACGCCAGCUCUCUGAUUUUAUCUUGUGUUUAUUGGGAAAUGGUGGUGCCCAUCUCUGGGCCAGUCCAGACAGCUUCCCCCUAGGAAGUGAGCCGAGUUCCCACGGCGUGUCAGAGUUAAAAACAAGGACAAGAGACAGCGUGAGAGACAUAAGAGAGGGGGCACGGAGAAAGACAGAAAAGCAGAGAGAGGGACACACAGGUCCCCUGCUUCCUCUUCUGUUUGUUCAUUAAUCAGGCUGAUGUCAGGUGGCACAAGGGGCAUUGGACAUCAUUUCAUGGCUCAAGAUCAUUGUCCCUAAGUCUGUUUUCCCAGGCUGUCCCCUUAAGAGCUGGGCUGCCGCGGCCACACCCUGCAGUCCAUGUCACCCUCCAGCCAUUGCUCUCCUGUGGGUGUGCCUGGCAGAGCCUCCAGCUCUGUGCCUGCCCCCUGGAAUGCCCCUAAAGCCCUCCCAGCCCCUUACCCAGCCUUCAAGGCCACACCUGUGCCCCUCCUUCAUGCAGCCCCCAGAUGGGAUCAGGAGGCAGGGUGUGCCUCUCUGUCCCUCAAGGGCUCCCUGGUCAUCUCUGUGCAUGUCUAGAUGCCACUGAGAUGGACUGGCCUUGAUGGCCGGGACUCUAUGUCUUAGCAUCCAGCAUGGCUAGCUGAAGUCAGUGGCUGCAGAGUGUGGGAAUGAGUGAGUGAGUGAGUGAGUGAGUGAGUGAAUGAAUGAAUGAAUGAAUGGGGGAGAACUGAGUGACCCAAGGGAGGCCCAGACCUGGACAGGAGCUUCUGGUGCCUCUUGUCCCUCCUUUUUUUUUUUUUUUUAAGAUGGAGUCUGGCUCUAUUGCCCAGGCUGGAGUGCCGUGGCACAAUCUCAGCUCACUGCAACUUCUGCCUCUCAGGUUCCAGUGAUCCUACUGCCUCAGCCUCCUAAAUAGCUGGAACUACAGGCGUGCACCACCAUACCCGGCUAAUUUUUGUAUUUUUAGUAGAGACAGGGUUUUGCCAUGUUGACCAGGCUGGUCUUGAACUCCUGACCUCGUGAUCCACCUGCCUCGGCCUCCCAAAGUGCUGGGAUUACAGGCGUGAGCCACCGCACCCAGACCCCUCUUGUCCAUUCUUUUCAUGGAUGAGGAGGCUGAGGCCCAAGCCGGUCAAGGGGGGGCCAGGACUGGGGCUCCGACAUUUUCUCUCCCAGGGGAUUCUCAGGAUCCCUCUCUGGGAACAUGAUCAGUGGCUUUAAGGGGCCAGGGGCUUUCCCUCCAGCCAGCCCUGGACUCACAGGCCCCAGAGAACCUGGAGAAGCCAGCCUCGCAUGGCUGGGAUUUUCAUCGGGAGAAUCCCACUGGCCAUGUACUGGGCUCUCUCCCAGUCCGAGAUUGGGCUCUGGGCUCAGCACUGAGCAGGACCCAAGGAAGUGGCUUAAGUCUUUGUGGCCAGGCGGUGUCUGCUGUAGAAAGCAGUGUGGCAUGUGGCCGGGUGGUACUGUGGCCAGGGAGAGAGGUUGCCUGGGGCUGUCCAGGCUUCAGCCUGGGAAAGGGAGCACCCAGGGAACCAAGACAAGGUGCAGGGCUGGAGGCAGCUUUGGGCUCAGCUGUCGGGGAAGCAUAUUGGCAGGAGGGGCCUCCUGGAUGUCUGGUCAGAGAUGGCCAGGGGGCCAAGGACAUAUGAGAGGCAGCUGAGGGUUGCCGGGCGAGCUGCCUCAUGCCUGUAAUCCCAGCACUUUGGGAGGCUGAGGCGGGCGGAUCACCUGAGGUCGGGAGUUUGAGACCAGCCUGGCCAACAUGGUGAAACCCCGUCUCUACCAAAAUACAAAAAUCAGCCGGGCAUGGUGGCGGGUGCCUGUAAUCCCAGCUAUUCAGGAGGGUGAGGCACGAGAAUCGCUUGAACCCAGGAGGUGGAGGUUGCAAUGAGUCAAGAUCGCGCCACUGCACUCCAGCCUGGGUGACAGAGCCAGACUCUGUCUCAAAAACAAAAAAAAAGAAAAAAGAGAGGCAGCUGAGGGGAGGGACAAGGGUCAUUAGUCCACAUGGGAGCUGGCUGAGGCUGGUGCCCAGGGAUAGGGGAGCUGAGUGGGUGCAGGCCCAGGAAGUGAGCAAUUGCCAGUGACACCGGGUGGAGGGACAGGUGGAGGAGGAGUUGUGAGCUCAGCUGCACAGGACAUUACUCCAAAUGGGGCUGAGGAGCAAGGGGGACCCCCACACUCCCCACAUCCCAAUGCUGAGGCAUGUGGGUAGGGGGCUACCCAGGAGGGCUUCAGGGAAAAAGUGUUCUGAAGGAAGAGGCAGGAGGGUGGUGAAGGGGACAUUUGGGGGCCACCCCUUCUCCAGCUGGCAAAAUUGUCCUGUCCCCGCUGGGUGCGGUGGCUCAUGCCUGUAAUCCCAGCACCUGGGGAGGCUGAAGCGGAAGGAUCACUUGAGGUCAGGAGUUUGAGACCAGCUUGGGCCACACGGUGAAA